AAUCCCCGGCCCUCUCACGAUUAUUUUUAAAAGAUUCCAUGUUCCUGGAGAAUUAAUCUGAUUAUGACUACCUUCAAUGUGGCUUUAUUGAGAGUCUCGUGUGGCAUGAACAUUUCAUAUUUAACCAGGGAGAAGCGCCCUGAAAACUUGAGAUGAAGGUACUCUGUGGGGCUGACACAGAAGAUGCUCCCGCUUCUGAGCCCGGUCUGUUCCCUACGUGGUCUGUGCAUGGCGCCCACGGGAUGUACUGCCCGGGCUGAGCGUGAGCUGGGGCAGCCCGUGGCCGAGGAGAGGCACCAGUGUCCCCAGGGGGCCCAAUAACCCUGCAGUUCCCACCCACUCGCCCGCCCGCCCGUUCGUUUGGAUCGAUUUUCUCGUCUGCUCCUACCCGGGAUCCAGGCCUCUAUCACCCUCACCUGUCUCCAGGAACCGUUGAUCUUCAGGAUGCUCAUUCUCUUUUUGUCAGAAAAUGAAACACUGCUCGGCUUCCACAGGCACCUGAGGAGUGGUAAUUUAUUCCAGUAACAUCAGAAGUCACGCUCUGGGAGAGCCCCUUCCUCGGUGAGUGUCUGGAACCUCUCAGUGUUGCUGGUCUGAAAGGUGAGCCUUUCCAGAUCCGUGCUUCUGAACAUGCAGCCCACACUGCCUCGUGUAACAAUAAUGCCAUCAUUUGCUGCACACUGACUAUAAUGCUGGCACACGGUUUCAUGUGAGUCUCAAAACCUUUGGUGGCAGUACUGUCAAUUAGGAUUACGUUUGACAAAAAGAGAAUUAAGUACUCCAGAACAAUAGCUUCUGUCAGGUAGUUUAUUUCUCUUUCCUGUUCAAGGAGUCCAGAAGAGUUUGACGUGACAGGGUAGCAGAGGCUCAGCACCUUUCUAACGCCCCUGGCAUAUGCAGCUCUCAUUCCCAAGGUUGUCUCAUUGGCAAAGGAAGGGGUUAGGGCUCCUGCUAUCACAUCUGUAUUCUAAAAAGAUGAAGUACACAUCCCACAGUAGCACUUACCAUUCUCACAUAUAGCCCAGACUUACACACACGGCCACAUCUACUCAGAAAUCUUCUCCCCUCUCGUCAUCUGCGUGCACAGCUAAAAUCUAAGAUUCUUUUGCUCUUGGUAAAGGGGAAAAUGGGUUCUGAGAGGCAGCUAGCAGUCUGCCAAGUUUAAGAGCUGCUAUUUCCGCCUUACAAAUGGAGAAAUUGCUCCAGAAGAAGUACACAGUAUUAGCUUUCUUGUGCUGGGACAGAUCACUCAACAGCUGCGACUGGAAGGGGUUUCGUUUGCAUGCGUUUUCAUGGCCUGGCUCCAGGUAGAGCUGUCCCGGCACAAAGGCGUGGAGGGCAGAGCUGCUCUGUUCGUGGCAGGGGGAGCAGCGUGGGGCCAGAGUGCCAGAGCAGAAGAUGCCAGUAGCCACACUGAGACCCCAGACACUCCCGGGAGUGCGAUCCCCCAGCCACCUGGGGGGACCCCGAAGAGGAUGGAGCUGAAACCCCGACUGCCACGGAGGUUACACUGACCCCUAAGGGGCCGAGCUGCAUCCAGACCUGUGUAGGUACGACCUCGGAGCUCUUAAGCUUUACACGGAAGUACUUCCACCAUACAAAAGGGCUUUGACUUUAUUCCGUCUCCACCACUAAAUUGGUAGAAAGAAAAAACCUUUCUGGCUAAGUUGCCAGGUCAGUCUGUUCAAACAAUGAUGCCCUUUGUUUUGCAAGGCUCUUUUGGCAGAGGACGUGGUCCUGGUACCAACUUGUGCAACGGAGCCUUUAGUUCUGCUGACCUUCUGAUGGGAGGAUUCACAGAAUUCAGCGACAAGCUUGGAGAUUGGCUGGCAGGCAGAUUAAAGCCUUAUUUUCCAUCUUCUGCCCGUUCAGGGUUGCAACUGGUUUAAACUUCACUGAAAUAUGCUUUGCUGUCCUACUCAUAGUUUAGAUCUUCAAUAACAUAAUAAAGGAGCAAGGUUUUCAAUGAGACAA
This is a long non-coding RNA of Fukomys damarensis (Damara mole-rat), 1974 nucleotides long. RefSeq lists it as uncharacterized. The record is from RefSeq and is a predicted model, not a curated record. Lineage: Eukaryota; Metazoa; Chordata; Mammalia; Rodentia; Bathyergidae. The transcript has 4 exons.